This 253-nucleotide ribosomal RNA is filed under the name uncultured bacterium. Its description in RNAcentral is "partial 16S ribosomal RNA". It matches the Rfam family "Bacterial small subunit ribosomal RNA", at positions 524 to 776 of the family's 1533-position model. RNAcentral also lists the same sequence under 1 other name. The record is from RNAcentral.
UACGAAGGGGGCUAGCGUUGUUCGGAAUUACUGGGCGUAAAGCGCGCGCAGGCGGUUCUUCAAGUCAGUGGUGAAAGCCCGGAGCUCAACUCCGGAAAUGCCAUUGAAACUGUAGAACUUGAGGACGAGAGAGGUGAGUGGAAUUCCCAGUGUAGAGGUGAAAUUCGUAGAUAUUGGGAAGAACACCGGUGGCGAAGGCGGCUCACUGGCUCGUUUCUGACGCUCAGGCGCGAUAGCGUGGGGAUCAAACAGG